This 393-nucleotide long non-coding RNA is filed under the name Struthio camelus australis. Its description in RNAcentral is "lncRNA (ENSSCUG00000018611.1)". Lineage: Eukaryota; Metazoa; Chordata; Aves; Struthioniformes; Struthionidae. The record is from RNAcentral.
GGCUUUGUAAGGCUUGUUACUACUUCCCUGAGAGAUACCUGCUUUGCCUUCUUCUCUUAUGCAGCACUGCUGAUAUCAGCAGGAGUGCUGAGUUAUUAUAUUUGCAUCCUGCCAGACAAACGUGGGGCUCCCCACAUAGCUCUGCCAGUACCCCCACUCCUGCCUGGAAGAAAGGAAGAAGUUUAGCAUGUUACUAGAUUUUUGUUGUCUUUCUGUUCGCACUUAACUUCAGAGGCAGCCAACUUGACCAUUCAGAGAUGCAAAGCCGAGUCACUAUAUGGUGGUGUUCCCUGCUGUCAUUCACCAUUCCCGAGAGGAGAAGCUCUGUGUCCACCUCAGGUCCCUCCCUGAAGCUGUCCACCUGGCUGUCACCUUGGAGGUGGAAGCCCAGAA